This 489-nucleotide ribosomal RNA is filed under the name Hylodes aff. sazimai CL-2020. RNAcentral describes it as "partial small subunit ribosomal RNA". It matches the Rfam family "Bacterial small subunit ribosomal RNA", at positions 794 to 1522 of the family's 1533-position model. The record is from RNAcentral. Lineage: Eukaryota; Metazoa; Chordata; Amphibia; Anura; Hylodidae.
GCCCGACCGUAAACUUUAAAUUACACCCACAUCGCCAGAGAACUACGAGCAAAGCUUAAAACUCAAAGGACUUGACGGUACCCCAUAUCCCCCUAGAGGAGCCUGUCCUAUAAUCGAUAUUCCCCGUUUAACCUCACCACUUCUAGCUUCUCAGCCUGUAUACCUCCGUCGUCAGCUUACCACGUGAGCGAAACUCAGUGAGCUUAAUGUCCACACGUCCACACGUCAGGUCAAGGUGCAGUAAAUGAAAUGGCAAGAGAUGGGCUACACUCUCUAAAAUAGAACACACGAAAAACCAUAUAUGAAAACUGGUCAAAAGGUGGAUUUAGUAGUAAAAGAAAAACAGAGUGUUUCUUUUAAUCCGGCACUGGGGUGUGUACACACCGCCCGUCACCCUCUUCAAAGCCCGACCUUAGUAUUUAACCACUUAUGCUCCAUAGAAGAGGCAAGUCGUAACAUGGUAAGUAUACCGGAAGGUGUGCUUGGAAA